This 484-nucleotide ribosomal RNA is filed under the name uncultured bacterium. RNAcentral's name for it is "partial 16S ribosomal RNA". It matches the Rfam family "Bacterial small subunit ribosomal RNA", at positions 30 to 507 of the family's 1533-position model. The record is from RNAcentral.
AUUGAACGCUGGCGGCAGGCCUAACACAUGCAAGUCGAGCGGAUGAAGGGAGCUUGCUCCUGGAUUCAGCGGCGGACGGGUGAGUAAUGCCUAGGAAUCUGCCUGGUAGUGGGGGAUAACGUCCGGAAACGGGCGCUAAUACCGCAUACGUCCUGAGGGAGAAAGUGGGGGUUCUUCGGACCUCACGCUAUCAGAUGAGCCUAGGUCGGAUUAGCUAGUUGGUGGGGUAAAGGCCUACUAAGGCGACGAUCCGUAACUGGUCUGAGAGGAUGAUCAGCCACACUGGAACUGAGACACGGUCCAGACUCCUACGGGAGGCAGCAGUGGGGAAUAUUGGACAAUGGGCGAAAGCCUGAUCCAGCCAUGCCGCGUGUGUGAAGAAGGUCUUCGGAUUGUAAAGCGCUUUAAGUUGGGAGGAAGGGCAGUAAGUUAAUACCUUGCUGUUUUGACGUUACCAACAGAAUAAGCACCGGCUAACUACGUG